GUGAGGAAUUUUGCGCAAUGGCCACAAGGCUGACGCAGCAACGCCGCGUGGGUGAAGAAGGCCUUCGGGUCGUAAAGCCCUGUCAGGUGGGAAGAAGGACCAUGGGUCGAAUAGACUGUGGGAUUGACGGUACCACCAGAGGAAGCACCGGCUAACUCCGUGCCAGCAGCCGCGGUAAUACGGAGGGUGCGAGCGUUAUUCGGAAUUACUGGGCGUAAAGCGCGUGCAGGCGGUUUGACAAGUCUGAUGUGAAAGCCCCGGGCUUAACCUGGGAAGAGCAUUGGAAACUGUUGGACUUGAGUACAGGAGAGGAAGGGGGAAUUCCCGGUGUAGAGGUGAAAUUCGUAGAGAUCGGGAGGAAUACCAGUGGCGAAGGCGCCCUUCUGGACGGCUACUGACGCUGAGACGCGAAAGCGUGGGGAGCAAACAGGAUUAGAAACCCCAGUAGUCC
Molecule: ribosomal RNA, 451 nt
Filed under: uncultured bacterium
Lineage: Bacteria
Description: partial 16S ribosomal RNA
Rfam family: Bacterial small subunit ribosomal RNA
Source: RNAcentral